GGUUAAGCGACUAAGCGUACACGGUGGAUGCCCUGGCAGUCAGAGGCGAUGAAGGACGUGCUAAUCUGCGAUAAGCGCCGGUAAGGUGAUAUGAACCGUUAUAACCGGCGAUUUCCGAAUGGGGAAACCCAGUGUGACUCGUCACACUAUCAUUAACUGAAUCCAUAGGUUAAUGAGGCGAACCGGGGGAACUGAAACAUCUAAGUACCCCGAGGAAAAGAAAUCAACCGAGAUUCCCCCAGUAGCGGCGAGCGAACGGGGAGGAGCCCAGAGCCUGAAUCAGCAUGUGUGUUAGUGGAAGCGUCUGGAAAGGCGCGCGAUACAGGGUGACAGCCCCGUACACAAAAGCGCAUGUGCUGUGAGCUCGAUGAGUAGGGCGGGACACGUGGUAUCCUGUCUGAAUAUGGGGGGACCAUCCUCCAAGGCUAAAUACUCCUGACUGACCGAUAGUGAACCAGUACCGUGAGGGAAAGGCGAAAAGAACCCCGGCGAGGGGAGUGAAAAAGAACCUGAAACCGUGUACGUACAAGCAGUGGGAGCACAGGUUUACCUGUGUGACUGCGUACCUUUUGUAUAAUGGGUCAGCGACUUAUAUUCUGUAGCAAGGUUAACCGUAUAGGGGAGCCGGAGGGAAACCGAGUCUUAAUUGGGCGUUAAGUUGCAGGGUAUAGACCCGAAACCCGGUGAUCUAGCCAUGGGCAGGUUGAAGGUUGGGUAACACUAACUGGAGGACCGAACCGACUAAUGUUGAAAAAUUAGCGGAUGACCUGUGGCUGGGGGUGAAAGGCCAAUCAAACCGGGAGAUAGCUGGUUCUCCCCGAAAGCUAUUUAGGUAGCGCCUCGUGAAUUCAUCUCCGGGGGUAGAGCACUGUUUCGGCUAGGGGGCCAUCCCGGCUUACCAACCCGAUGCAAACUGCGAAUACCGGAGAAUGUUAUCACGGGAGACACACGGCGGGUGCUAACGUCCGUCGUGAAGAGGGAAACAACCCAGACCGCCAGCUAAGGUCCCAAAGUCAUGGUUAAGUGGGAAACGAUGUGGGAAGGCCCAGACAGCCAGGAUGUUGGCUUAGAAGCAGCCAUCAUUUAAAGAAAGCGUAAUAGCUCACUGGUCGAGUCGGCCUGCGCGGAAGAUGUAACGGGGCUAAACCAUGCACCGAAGCUGCGGCAGCGACGCUGAUGCGUUGUUGGGUAGGGGAGCGUUCUGUAAGCCUGCGAAGGUGGCCUGUGAGGGUUGCUGGAGGUAUCAGAAGUGCGAAUGCUGACAUAAGUAACGAUAAAGCGGGUGAAAAGCCCGCUCGCCGGAAGACCAAGGGUUCCUGUCCAACGUUAAUCGGGGCAGGGUGAGUCGACCCCUAAGGCGAGGCCGAAAGGCGUAGUCGAUGGGAAACGGGUUAAUAUUCCCGUACUUGGUGUUACUGCGAAGGGGGGACGGAGAAGGCUAUGUUGGCCGGGCGACGGUUGUCCCGGUUUAAGCGUGUAGGUGUGUGUUCCAGGUAAAUCCGGUUCACUUUAACACUGAGGCGUGACGACGAGGCACUACGGUGCUGAAGCAACAAAUGCCCUGCUUCCAGGAAAAGCCUCUAAGCAUCAGGUAACAUCAAAUCGUACCCCAAACCGACACAGGUGGUCAGGUAGAGAAUACCAAGGCGCUUGAGAGAACUCGGGUGAAGGAACUAGGCAAAAUGGUGCCGUAACUUCGGGAGAAGGCACGCUGACAUGUAGGUGAAGUGAUUUACUCAUGGAGCUGAAGUCAGUCGAAGAUACCAGCUGGCUGCAACUGUUUAUUAAAAACACAGCACUGUGCAAACACGAAAGUGGACGUAUACGGUGUGACGCCUGCCCGGUGCCGGAAGGUUAAUUGAUGGGGUCAGCGCAAGCGAAGCUCCUGAUCGAAGCCCCGGUAAACGGCGGCCGUAACUAUAACGGUCCUAAGGUAGCGAAAUUCCUUGUCGGGUAAGUUCCGACCUGCACGAAUGGCGUAAUGAUGGCCAGGCUGUCUCCACCCGAGACUCAGUGAAAUUGAACUCGCUGUGAAGAUGCAGUGUACCCGCGGCAAGACGGAAAGACCCCGUGAACCUUUACUAUAGCUUGACACUGAACAUUGAGCCUUGAUGUGUAGGAUAGGUGGGAGGCUUUGAAGCGUGGACGCCAGUCUGCGUGGAGCCGACCUUGAAAUACCACCCUUUAAUGUUUGAUGUUCUAACGUGGACCCGUUACCCGGGUUGCGGACAGUGUCUGGUGGGUAGUUUGACUGGGGCGGUCUCCUCCUAAAGAGUAACGGAGGAGCACGAAGGUUGGCUAAUCCUGGUCGGACAUCAGGAGGUUAGUGCAAUGGCAUAAGCCAGCUUGACUGCGAGCGUGACGGCGCGAGCAGGUGCGAAAGCAGGUCAUAGUGAUCCGGUGGUUCUGAAUGGAAGGGCCAUCGCUCAACGGAUAAAAGGUACUCCGGGGAUAACAGGCUGAUACCGCCCAAGAGUUCAUAUCGACGGCGGUGUUUGGCACCUCGAUGUCGGCUCAUCACAUCCUGGGGCUGAAGUAGGUCCCAAGGGUAUGGCUGUUCGCCAUUUAAAGUGGUACGCGAGCUGGGUUUAGAACGUCGUGAGACAGUUCGGUCCCUAUCUGCCGUGGGCGCUGGAGAACUGAGGGGGGCUGCUCCUAGUACGAGAGGACCGGAGUGGACGCAUCACUGGUGUUCGGGUUGUCAUGCCAAUGGCACUGCCCGGUAGCUAAAUGCGGAAGAGAUAAGUGCUGAAAGCAUCUAAGCACGAAACUUGCCCCGAGAUGAGUUCUCCCUGAGACUUAGAGUCUCCUGAAGGAACGUUGAAGACGACGACGUUGAUAGGCCGGGUGUGUAAGCGCAGCGAUGCGUUGAGCUAACCGGUACUAAUGAACCGUGAGGCUUAACCUU
This 2908-nucleotide ribosomal RNA is filed under the name Salmonella enterica subsp. enterica serovar Saintpaul. RNAcentral's name for it is "23S ribosomal RNA". It matches the Rfam family "Bacterial large subunit ribosomal RNA". The record is from RNAcentral. Lineage: Bacteria; Pseudomonadati; Pseudomonadota; Gammaproteobacteria; Enterobacterales; Enterobacteriaceae.